Molecule: long non-coding RNA, 828 nt
Filed under: Acanthaster planci (crown-of-thorns starfish)
Lineage: Eukaryota; Metazoa; Echinodermata; Asteroidea; Valvatida; Acanthasteridae
Description: uncharacterized LOC110990433, transcript variant X3
Source: RNAcentral
GGGUGCAAACUAGACAGGCUCUCGUAUAGGGUGCCUUUACUUAACCAUACAGAGGAGUCUGUGUAAUGACAAGUCAGGCCAAAAUUCGUACAGAUGCAGAGUGGGAAAACGGCAAAAAAGGCAACUUUUUUCCUCUGGACGAGGAAAAGGCGAGUUCUCUACAAUUGGCAACCUAUACGGAAGUUUACACCUUGGACCUCUCCUAACUUUUCAGUACAGUGAAGGUCGACCCAGGUUGCAAUAUGUCUGGUAGAGAAGGGGGAAAGAAGAAACCUUUAAAACAAGCCAAGAAAGAGAAGAAAGAACUUGAUGAAGAGGACUUGGUUUGGAAGCAAAAGCAGAAGGAAGAAAAGAAAAAGCUAGAUGAAGCAAAAGUGAAAGCAGCUCAGAAAGGACCACUGAGUCAAGGUGGCAUUAAGAAAUCAAGGAAGAAAUAACAACAGGUGUGCCCUUGCUUCAAGAUGAGAAAAAGAUUCAUCCCAAGGAAUUGAAAGCAAAUGAACUUUAAGAUUCAUUUUAAGAAGCAAUCCUGUGUAUACCUGCAUUCUUGAAGUAGUAUGAACUCAAUAAAAUUUGACAAGAUUAUUGGGAGAGCAUUAAUAAGUAUUAUCAAUGGUUUAACCACUCAGCUCAUUUACAUUUAUAUGAAGAAAACUGGUUGAGAAAAGCCUAAUCACGAUUAUGAAUUGCGUAUGUUGGGAACAAAUAAAAACAUUUGUGUAUAAAAGCAGCAACAUUGUGACCAAUACUUGUCAUAAAGAUCAUAAAGCACAGCAAAUUUACAUCAUUGACCGUUGUGUGUUACGAUUAAAGGUGUACGUACACAUA